This 648-nucleotide unclassified non-coding RNA is filed under the name Hevea brasiliensis (rubber tree). Lineage: Eukaryota; Viridiplantae; Streptophyta; Magnoliopsida; Malpighiales; Euphorbiaceae. The record is from RNAcentral.
AAUUAAGGAUUAUGUUACAAAUUAAAAAUUGAGUAUUUUAUCGUUACAUAACGUUAAGUCUGGGUACUGUUAAUGUAAUUUACCCAAACAAUCAUCUACAAAACUACCGAAAUAUGAGACACUAACAGACUUCACCCAAACUGCAUUAACCACUACCAAGGAAUCCAGCUCAAAAAUGACAUGAUGAAUCAACUCUCUUGACCCAGCUUAGAGCCUUCCUAAAUAACAUUGCCUCAGCUAUUGACAGAUCCGUUGGCCCAUCCAAAACAAUUUGACAAGCAUUUAUCACCUGCCCAUUCUCAUCGCGAAGCACCAAGCCAGCACCAAUACUACCCGAAGAUUGAAGAACCAGCAGGAGGUUCGGACCAAGCAAUACUACCAUCUGUACCUCUUGCGACGAUGAUAAUGCUGCAUAACCACAGAAUGUCCUUGCAUCGUUUGCCAACUAAAGAGAAACGAGUGGGCAUAAUUAACAAUUUGAGCAACAGAAGUCGACGCCCAUUAACUAACUAAUUCACGAAACGGCAAUUUGAAUUCUCCCCAUUAACAGUAACAUUGCAAGUUUUUGAGAAAGCAUUCAUCUAGACCUCAUGAGCAAGCCUGCGAUAAAUGAAUAAAUGAUCUAUAGAUUCAACAACCAUAUCACAU